RNAcentral lists this unclassified non-coding RNA (162 nucleotides) under uncultured fungus. Its description in RNAcentral is "sequence contains ITS1, 5.8S rRNA gene". The record is from RNAcentral. Lineage: Eukaryota; Fungi. RNAcentral also lists the same sequence under 1 other name.
AUGAGAACGUGCCCUUCGGGGUAGAUCUCCCACCCUGUGUUUACACUACCUUUGUUGCUUUGGCAGGCCCGCCCUCGGGCCGCCGGCUCCGGCUGGCCAGCGUCUGCCAGAGGAUUCAAAACUCUUUGUUAUUUUUGCCGUCUGAGUACUAUACAAUAGUUA